CAGAUAUCUACAGUAAUCUACAGAUUUGAUGAAAGGGACAGAAAACUGUUUCAGCACACCUCACAUCAGCAUGGAAGGCAGAGUCUGAGAUUGAUCCCACACAGUGAAAAUAAUCAACGAGACGGAAAAGUCACAGUAAUUUAAAAUCAUGGAAUGAGAAAGUUCCUAGCUGCUCUUCUGGUAAAGGCAACUUGUUGACACGGCAAAGUGAAAUGACAGUAGACCAUCUUUGGCAAAUUCUAUACAGGGCUUGUAAUUAGAAGAAAACUUCUGAACUCAAGAUUGCUUCAAACCUCUCAAGCAUUUUAUG
This 310-nucleotide long non-coding RNA is filed under the name Gallus gallus (chicken). RNAcentral's name for it is "lncRNA (ENSGALG00010002301.1)". The record is from RNAcentral. Lineage: Eukaryota; Metazoa; Chordata; Aves; Galliformes; Phasianidae.